This is a long non-coding RNA of Harpia harpyja (harpy eagle), 206 nucleotides long. RefSeq lists it as uncharacterized. The record is from RefSeq and is a predicted model, not a curated record. The transcript is spliced from 2 exons. Lineage: Eukaryota; Metazoa; Chordata; Aves; Accipitriformes; Accipitridae.
AGACAGAUUCCUGGACCUUGCAGCUGUUCUUUUGUUGAAGUGAUAUGGGAAGGCAGCUUUGAAGAAUUUUCUUGUGUCUCAGAAUACUCCAGACAAGAUCUAUGGAUGGGCGUUAUGUUCCACAGUAUCUUUGUAUGAUCUGUAGAUGCAGAUGCAAAACCUGUGAUGAAAGGACCUGAAAAUUAAAAAGCUUUAUUGUUACCAUA